GAUGAGAACGUAGCGAAAUGCGAUAAGUAGUGUGAAUUGCAGAAUUCCGUGAAUCAUCGAAUCUUUGAACGCACAUUGCGCCCCUUGGUAUCCCGAGGGGCAUGCCUGUUCGAGCGUCAUUUCACCACUCAAGCCUGGCUUGGUGUUGGGCGACGUCCCCUUUGGGGACGCGCCUCGAAACGCUCGGCGGCGUGGCACCGGCUUUAAGCGUAGCAGAAUCUUUCGCUUUGGAAGUCGGGGCCCCGUCUGCCGGAAGACCUACUCGCAAGGUUGACCUCGGAUCAGGCAGGGAUACCCGCUGAACUUAAGCAUAUCAAUAAGCGGAGGA
This 328-nucleotide unclassified non-coding RNA is filed under the name soil metagenome. Its description in RNAcentral is "partial contains 5.8S ribosomal RNA, internal transcribed spacer 2, and large subunit ribosomal RNA". The stretch from base 5 to 119 matches the Rfam family "5.8S ribosomal RNA", at positions 40 to 154 of the family's 154-position model. The record is from RNAcentral.